CCUACGGGAGGCAGCAGUGGGGGAUAUUGCACAAUGGAGGAAACUCUGAUGCAGCGACGCCGCGUGAGGGAAGACGGUCUUCGGAUUGUAAACCCCUGUCAUGUGGGAGCAAAUUAAAAAGAUAGUACCACAAGAGGAAGAGACGGCUAACUCUGUGCCAGCAGCCGCGGUAAUACAGAGGUCUCAAGCGUUGUUCGGAAUCACUGGGCGUAAAGCGUGCGUAGGCUGUUUCGUAAGUCGUGUGUGAAAGGCGCGGGCUCAACCCGCGGACGGCACAUGAUACUGCGAGACUAGAGUAAUGGAGGGGGAACCGGAAUUCUCGGUGUAGCAGUGAAAUGCGUAGAUAUCGAGAGGAACACUCGUGGCGAAGGCGGGUUCCUGGACAUUAACUGACGCUGAGGCACGAAGGCCAGGGGAGCGAAAGGGAUUAGAUACCCCUGUAGUC
This 445-nucleotide ribosomal RNA is filed under the name uncultured bacterium. RNAcentral's name for it is "partial 16S ribosomal RNA". It matches the Rfam family "Bacterial small subunit ribosomal RNA", at positions 338 to 795 of the family's 1533-position model. The record is from RNAcentral.